GUGCUCACUUCGGCAGCACGAAUACUAAAACUGGAACAAUACAGAAAAUAUUAGCAUGGCCCAUGUGCAAGGAAUAGCUUUGCAAUUUAAAACAUUACUUGAUUUUU
Molecule: small nuclear RNA, 107 nt
Organism: Psammomys obesus (fat sand rat)
Lineage: Eukaryota; Metazoa; Chordata; Mammalia; Rodentia; Muridae
Source: RefSeq, a predicted model, not a curated record